ACACAUGCAGUCGAGCGGUAACAGGGGAGCUUGCUCCUGCUGACGAGCGGCGGACGGGUGAGUAACGCGUAGGAAUCUACCUAGUAGAGGGGGACAACAUGUGGAAACGCAUGCUAAUACCGCAUACGCCCUAAGGGGGAAAGGAGGGGACUUUUCGGAGCCUUCCGCUAUUAGAUGAGCCUGCGUAAGAUUAGCUAGUUGGUAGGGUAAAGGCCUACCAAGGCGACGAUCUUUAACUGGUCUGAGAGGAUGGCCAGUCACACUGGGACUGAGACACGGCCCAGACUCCUACGGGAGGCAGCAGUGGGGAAUAUUGGACAAUGGGCGGAAGCCUGAUCCAGCCAUGCCGCGUGUGUGAAGAAGGCCUUAGGGUUGUAAAGCACUUUCAGGGGUGAGGAAGGGUAGCUAGUUAAUACCUAGUUAUCUUGACGUUAGCCCCAGAAGAAGCACCGGCUAACUCUGUGCCAGCAGCCGCGGUAAUACAGAGGGUGCAAGCGUUAAUCGGAAUUACUGGGCGUAAAGCGCGCGUAGGUGGUUUGUUAAGUCGGAUGUGAAAUCCCAGGGCUCAACCUUGGAAUGGCACCCGAUACUGGCAGGCUAGAGUAUGGUAGAGGGGUGUGGAAUUUCCUGUGUAGCGGUGAAAUGCGUA
Molecule: ribosomal RNA, 649 nt
Filed under: bacterium 193_oclvp262
Lineage: Bacteria
Also listed under: 1 other name
Description: bacterial SSU rRNA
Rfam family: Bacterial small subunit ribosomal RNA
Source: RNAcentral